RNAcentral lists this long non-coding RNA (1138 nucleotides) under Salvia miltiorrhiza (redroot sage). Its description in RNAcentral is "long non-coding RNA (SMIL_LNC009968)". Lineage: Eukaryota; Viridiplantae; Streptophyta; Magnoliopsida; Lamiales; Lamiaceae. The record is from RNAcentral.
CGGCAGAAGGUAAGGAAUAGAAUACUGAAAGAGGUUGAGUAGAUGAAGAAAAGUAAUUGCAGCAAUUAAUAUAGGAACAUUAAUGUUUAACAGCAGGUACAGGGUGGAGAAAAAAGGAAAAAAUAAAAAAUCUGCAAAAGGAAGAAGCAAGGGCAUUUAACAUCUUGCUGCAGCUAGCUAGGCUUCUAGCCUUGUUUCUUCCUCCCCUUUCUUUCUUUCUUUCUUUCUUCUCGUCAGAGCUCAUUUAACAAUCGCUGAGAAAGCUAAAAAAGGGCUUGCUCUAAUUAAUUCUAAUUCAGAAGGAAAAAAGAACAAAAAGAGAGAUGGCGCAGAAAUGGCUUCUUCUUUCUUUCUUUUUUCUUUUUUUUUUGUGCUCUAGAAAUUAACUAACCACAGUAGCAAGCAAGCAAGCAAAGCCUCAGCUGGUGGCUUAGUUGUGAAGAGGAUUAGGCCCUGUGUGUAUUAAUCUCAUUUCUUCCUCGUACAGUUUCGAUGAUGAUGGGGUUGAGCCUCUUGCAUGGUGGUGCAGUAAAGAACCAUGAAAGCGCGCUUUUCUUGCCGGAGACCACCGUGAGCGGCUGAGUGAGCUGUGCUCCGCCGCUGACGAUAAUACACAAACUUGUGAAAAUAUCAAGAGGAAGAACCCAAGUGAAAAAACUACUAUAAUUCUUGGCCUACAAUUGAUCCUCCUCCUAAUUUCACCUUGUAUAGAAACUGACAUUGUUUUCGGCACCAACUUCACUAGCUGCUGCUAUAUGUAUAGUAAAACUACUGAACUACAACAAAAGUGGAUGCUGAAAGACAAGGUGAGGUGAGACAUCAUGGGAUAUUCUAAUAAACCCUAUUCAUAAAAAGGAGAGAGAGAGAGAGAGAGAGGUGUCUCCUUAUCUUAUGGGUUUUAGUCACAUGAUCUUGACCCUUGAUUCCUGGAACCUUCUUAUGCAUAUCUUACUUUCUCCAACUCUGCAUCUUGGCUUUUUUUAUAAUAGUUUGGAUUUUGCUUGUAAUGUAAACAAAGAAUGGGGUUUGGAUGUGCAAUGUGAUUAGGUUUUGGGAAAGUGGUUGUUGUCUAUAUAUGUAGAAACGUGGACUCUUGUUUUGUGGUUGGAGAAACUAAGCUAUGAGAGUGGGACUCUCC